This 683-nucleotide ribosomal RNA is filed under the name Asteronyx longifissus. RNAcentral describes it as "eukaryotic LSU rRNA". It matches the Rfam family "Eukaryotic large subunit ribosomal RNA", at positions 113 to 620 of the family's 3401-position model. Lineage: Eukaryota; Metazoa; Echinodermata; Ophiuroidea; Euryalida; Asteronychidae. The record is from RNAcentral.
GCCGAAUCCCCGCGUCCCAGUGGCGCGUGGGAAAUGUGGCGUAAGGAAGCCGUGGCUAACCGGGGACGCGGAGCCGACGUCCUUGUGAAGGAGGCUCUCAUCCCAUAGAGUGUGUUAGGCCCCCGCAGGCGCCCGUCGCCGGUGGCCUUUUGGCUUUCAAGAGUCGGGUUGUUUUGGAAUGCAGCCCAAAGACGGGUGGUAAACUCCAUCCAAGGCUAAAUACUAAGCACGAGACCGAUAGAUGACAAGUACCAUGAGGGAAAGUUGAAAAGAACUUUGAAGAGAGAGUUCAAUAGGACGUGAAGCUGCCGAGAAGUAAACGGAAAGGCCCCGCACACCGGGACCGGGAGAUUCAGCGCAGGGGGAGGUAGCGGCGCCCCGUUCCGUCUGCGGAUUCCUUUCGGGGAACCCUGGCGGUUCGGGUCGAUGCAGCCACCCGUCGCGCGCAUUUCUCCCGCGUCUCUGGGGUUGGCAGCCGACCGUUGAUCGGCCGAUUGGACGCGGCGAAGGCAGGUAGCUCAUCGGGUCUUCGGGCUCGGGGAGAACGUAUAGUCUCGCCGUCCGCAUCGGUCGCAAGGUCGAGGAAAGAUGACCACGUUCCGCGCCUGCUCAGGCCUUCGGGCUUUGGGGCUGGAGCCGCCGGACUCCCGCUCGUGCGGCGUACGGGGACUGUCCUCAGUGCC